This 251-nucleotide ribosomal RNA is filed under the name uncultured bacterium. Its description in RNAcentral is "partial 16S ribosomal RNA". It matches the Rfam family "Bacterial small subunit ribosomal RNA", at positions 524 to 776 of the family's 1533-position model. The record is from RNAcentral.
UACGAAGGGGGCUAGCGUUGCUCGGAUUGACUGGGCGUAAAGGGCGCGUAGGCGGUUCGUACAGUCAGACGUGAAAUCCUGGGCUCAACCUGGGGGCUGCGUUUGAUACGUGCGGACUUGAGUGCGGAAGAGGUCGUGGAAUUCCCAGUGUAGAGGUGAAAUUCGUAGAUAUUGGGAAGAACACCGGUGGCGAAGGCGGCGACCUGGUCCGAUACUGACGCUGAGGCGCGAAAGCGUGGGGAGCAAACAGG